This 766-nucleotide unclassified non-coding RNA is filed under the name Hevea brasiliensis (rubber tree). The record is from RNAcentral. Lineage: Eukaryota; Viridiplantae; Streptophyta; Magnoliopsida; Malpighiales; Euphorbiaceae.
AAAUUAAUUAACAACAAACAUCACCGUAACAGAAGGGUAAAUUAGAGGCAUAAAGCGGUGACGUGCAAAUCAUCAACAUCAACUCCAUCGUUAUCCGACGGAGGUGGCAGAUUCAGAUCGAACGGCAGAGGUUGUUUGGUCACAAACGAUGACGUUUGAUCAACAUCACACCGAUCAUCCACCACAGACGACGACGAAUCGCAAUCACUCCGGCAUUCCUCCAUCGGACGAACUGGGCGAGGAAUCUUCAUCCGGGUCACCUUACUACUCGAUCCGCCACGAGGCCCACUAGACGAUUCCAACGUACUGCUCAUACUGCUAGAAGCCGGUCUCGGAUUGGGGAAAAGCUCAAACUCAUCAUCAUAAGGAUCAUCUGUUAGAGGUAACAUAUUGAAAUUAGUUUUCGCCUUAGCUCCACGGAGAGCGCGUGCAGCAUCGUCGUAAGCGCGUGCGGCGUCUUCAGCUGUGUCAAAGGUACCCAGCCAAACUCGAGUCUUUUUAAUCGGAUCUCUAAUCUCUGCUGCGAAUCUACCCCAUGGCCGUUUACGAACACCUCGAUAACGAGGUGGGUCGGCGUCAGGCUGUUGAAGGAGGUCAGAUCCUGGUCUUUUCAGCUCCGACGACUUCCGGUGGCGCAUGGCCGGUGAAUUGAGAAUCAAGAUUGGAUUUUUAUGGGUAUUUUUUCAAUUUUUUUGCCGAUUUUCCAUGAAAUGGAAGAUGAUUUUGCUUUGUUUGCAGAUUCAGAGCAGAUUGGCAAUGGAGAAAG